RNAcentral lists this ribosomal RNA (449 nucleotides) under uncultured bacterium. RNAcentral describes it as "SSU rRNA". It matches the Rfam family "Bacterial small subunit ribosomal RNA", at positions 26 to 518 of the family's 1533-position model. The record is from RNAcentral.
AGGACGAACGCUGGCGGUGUGCUUCACACAUGCAAGUCGAACGAGGUAGCAAUACCUAGUGGCGGACGGGUGAGUAACGCGUGGGAAUCUGCCUUUGAAUGGGGGAUAACGGGCCGAAAGGUCCGCUAAUACCGCAUAGGCCGCAAGGUUAAAGGAGUAAUCCGUUCAAAGAUGAGCCCGCGUCCGAUUAGCUAGUUGGUAGGGUAAAAGCCUACCAAGGCGACGAUCGGUAGCUGGUCUGAGAGGAUGAUCAGCCACAAUGGGACUGAGACACGGCCCAUACUCCUACGGGAGGCAGCAGUGGGGAAUUUUACGCAAUGGGCGAAAGCCUGACGUAGCGACACCGCGUGAGCGAAGAAGCCCUUUGGGGUGUAAAGCUCUGUCGGCUGGAACGAAAAAAUGACGGUACCAGCAAAGGAAGCAUCGGCUAACUACGCGCCAGCAGCCGC